Molecule: long non-coding RNA, 2654 nt
Organism: Passer domesticus (house sparrow)
Lineage: Eukaryota; Metazoa; Chordata; Aves; Passeriformes; Passeridae
Exons: 6
Source: RefSeq, a predicted model, not a curated record
AGCAGUAGGAGAAUCAAGACCAAGUGGACUAAGGGAAGGCAAAAAGAAGUGUCCAAAAAUUGAUUGUCUGUGAGUACAACAGCAUGCCACCAGUGGUGUAUUGUUCAUGAAGAAGCUUUGGUUUGUGAAUGAGGCAUCACUCUUUGGAUUAGAUAAGCUUGUGAAAAAUACGUAUAAGUGCGAUACUUUCGGGAGAAAGCCUGAGUGAGGCUUUGAGUUCCACGAAGCUGAAACACCAUCUACAGCGCGCAGAAAUGCUCUCGCUACAACCAAAGCCCACCUCAGGUUACAGCUGUCGGCAGAACUCGUGGGUCGCAGCUGUUUAAUCCCCGCAGAUGCUACAGCACAAUGAAGACUAGAAAAACUCGUAUAUGACGGGAAACCUGGUGCCUGUUGAGCUGUGAAAAGAGCUGCCAUUAGGAGCCCAAAAUAUUUCUGCCAGGUUCUUGUCACCCUGGAAAAACACUAGUGUUUAUAACCUCCCUGGCUGCACUGACUGGCUGUGUCACCAGAGGUUUUUGUAGCAUCCUUAAUGACCUGUUAGGAAGAAUCUUGUAAACAUUCUGUCAUAAUUUACAUCUCACAUGGAUUUGGAAGUCAGGAAGACAAGUAUGUGUUCUGGCAAAUGUUUCUUUUUUCCUUGGAAUGAGGCAAAGGACUUGCUGCAAACUGAUCACCAAUUCACUGCUGCCAGGAGUGCAUACUGGGUGAAAUGGAGAAGUCCUUUGAGAAAAGGCUGGGAUUUGUUUGAGUGAAAUUGUUGAAAGAAUUCUCUGGAGGCAACAUGGCCCUUCUGUCAAAGCAGGGCUGCAUUACCUACUGCUCAUCACCAUCCUCACUUCACUUGAAGCAGUGAGAUUGAUAUCCAUGGUGGGUGUCUCUAGAGAGGUAAUUUGGUGUAUUUCUUUUAAAUUCAUUUUCAGAUUAAGUUUCAAAGUUCCACACCUCACUCAUUCAGUAAAAGCUGCUUCCAGGUACAGAAGAACCAACACAAACCAAACUUCACCUCUACUGGUUUAAUGCAAUGGCUUUUUCACCAGAACUCUUCCAGAUCUGUGUUAAAGUUGUCACUAGGCAUGAGAAUUGCCAGUAAGACAUAACACAUUCAGUUUUCUUCCUAAACUGAAUUUUUUGACUGGCUACCAGAGAAUGAGUACAUGCAUACAAAAUUUUAAACACAUAUGCACACAUAUUUCUAAUGCAUUUAUUUGAAUAUAGAACUUUAUGGGUUACUUAAGAGCUAAUAAAAUUUUUGAAGUAUGACUGAAACAACAGUCUGUUUUUUUUAACAUGUAGUAUCAUUUUCAGGCAAGGCAAAGUGAAAGGAAAGAAAAUGUAUGUAAUAUGUGAUUAUGUUUCUCAUUUAUAUUUAUUCUACAUGAGAGGCAUAGAGGAACACACAGCAGAUAUUUUAAACCCAUCAGAUAACCUCAGUCAUUCUGAUGCUCUGGAAUGCCUUUUAUGACAUUUCUUCAAUUCAUCAGGCAGAUAAAGGAGGAGAUAUUCUUUCAUUGCUUAAUAAAGGUUUUAAAGAUGGAGAAAGAUUGGUUUGGUUUUGAGGGGAUAAAGAAAGACUGGUGAAAUAAAAUUAAAGGAAAAAGAAUACAGUUCAUUAGUGUCAGUAUAAGCCUCUUCUACCAAGUUUAAAGAAGGGCUUUAACACCUUCUGUUGAAUGAGGAUUUAGCUCUAUUUUCCCUUAGUGAUUGAAAAUAAGUAACUUGAGAAAACAAUGAAAGUUUCUUGCUUCUUUUGUUGUUAUUCUAUCCCCAUUAAAUUAUUCCUAAUAGCAUUUUAAAACAACUAAAAGCUGCAACAGUAUAUACAGAGCUUUAGUCUGGAAAUAUGUGAUGAUAGAACACCCAAGAAGUGUAAUAUGAAGUAUUUAUAUUCUAUUUUAUCCCUGAUUAUUCAUUACUGCUGACACCCUUUAAACAUAUUCAGUGAACAUGGCAAAACUUAUUUAGAGAGAACUGUAAAUGAGUUCUCCUAAUUUCAGCAAGAGUGUACAUUUUGUUGGGAAGACUGACAUUAAAGAUCUUAUACAUAAAACCUCAGCUUCUUAAGGAUGUCCCUUUGCACUGCACUCACUCCCAUUCAUUCUAACAUCUUUUCCCCUCCAAGAUUCUUUAACUUUUUUCUAAUCAUCUUCCAUUCAACCUUUCUCCUCUUGUUGCACAUUGAAGCCUUAGCCCCUAAAAGCCAUGAUCUCCUUUAACUCUGGCUCUGGUAAACUAUUGAAUAAUCCUCCUUUCUGAAGGGCUUCCUUCCCUUCUGAAUUGCUGAAGAAUGUCCCUUCCUCUUCUCUUAGCAUUUUCUGUUUCUAAUAGUCUGUGCACUGUGGUCCCUCUACAAAUUGAAAUUCAAUUCUCUGUGUCCCUUGCCUUCCUCCAUGAACAGAAGCCUUUUGCUUCUGUUUACUAAAAGUUUUGACAUUUGUCUCUUUCUGAGGGUGAUGUCCUUCCUCAGUUUUCUUGUCUCAAUUUCUUCUGAUGAAUCCUGUUAUAAAACCUAUUAAUAUAGAUAUAGAUCGAAUUCUAGAUUUAUAUAUAAAUUUAUACAUAUAUGAAUUUAUAUGUAUACCGAUAAAAUAAAAACACAUUGUAAAUAUAUAUUUUCUUGUCUUUAUUCUAUUUACAGGCUAAACAAUAAAGAG